GACGAACCGUGCGAACGUUAUUCGGAAUCACUGGGCUUAAAGGGCGCGUAGGCGGGCGACCAAGUCAGGGGUGAAAUCGUUCGGCCCAACCGGACAAGGGCCCCUGAUACUGGUUGUCUCGAGGGAGGUAGGGGUCGAUGGAACUUCCGGUGGAGCGGUGAAAUGCGUAGAUAUCGGAAGGAACGCCGGUGGCGAAAGCGACGUGCUGGAUACCUACUGACGCUGAGGCGCGAAAGCCAGGGGAGCAAACGGG
Molecule: ribosomal RNA, 253 nt
Filed under: uncultured bacterium
Lineage: Bacteria
Description: partial 16S ribosomal RNA
Rfam family: Bacterial small subunit ribosomal RNA
Source: RNAcentral